GGAGGUGAAGGCGAAGAGACAGAAAAUGGAACAACCCAAGAGAAGGGCUCCAUUUGUGGAUUUGACUCUCUUUAUCAUCUCCUUCAAACUUCUCUCAGCCCCCAACUUUUCCAGGAAGUCAAUCGAAUACUUCUGGGCCUAAAUUGUGGAAAGAAACUUGAGUCUAUUGCUCUUCCGCAGCCUGUCAAAGCUCUCUCUGCUAAUCACGACUUUGAUCUUCAGGCUUUUAGUUUUUCUGCGGACAAAGAGUCACUUAGAGGACCUCGUGUUGUGAGGGUUGGCCUCAUUCAGAAUUCUAUUGCUCUACCCACAACUGAACCUUUCCUAAACCAAAGGGAGGCCAUCUUUCAAAAGUUAAUUCCCAUGAUUGAUGCUGCAGGCUCUUCAGGAGUCAACAUUCUAUGCUUGCAAGAGGCAUGGACGAUGCCAUUUGCAUUUUGUACUCGCGAGAAAAAAUGGUGUGAAUUUGCUGAAGAGAUUGAUGGAGAAUCAACAAAGUUUCUUCAGCAACUUGCACAAAAAUAUAACAUGGUUAUCAUUAGUCCAAUUCUUGAGAGGGAUGUGAACCAUGGAGAAACCCUGUGGAACACGGCAGUAAUAAUUGGAAAUCAUGGUAACAUAAUAGGGAAACAUCGGAAGAAUCAUAUACCUAGAGUUGGGGACUUCAACGAGAGUACAUAUUAUAUGGAAGGGAACACUGGCCAUCCCGUGUUUGAGACAGCAUAUGGCAAGAUUGCUGUUAAUAUAUGUUAUGGAAGGCACCAUCCUUUGAACUGGUUAGCUUUUGGGUUAAACGGUGCAGAAAUUGUUUUCAACCCAUCAGCUACUGUUGGUGAACUUAGUGAACCAAUGUGGCCCAUAGAGGCUCGCAACGCAGCAAUAGCAAAUAGUUAUUUUGUUGGUUCAAUUAACCGUGUUGGAACAGAAGUUUUCCCUAAUCCCUUCACUUCAGGAGAUGGAAAGCCACAACAUGCAGAUUUUGGGCAUUUCUAUGGUUCGAGUCAUUUUUCUGCACCAGAUGCUUCAUGUACACCGUCUCUGGCCCGUCACAAGGAUGGAUUGUUGAUAUCUGACAUGGAUCUCAACCUUUGCCGGCAGUUGAAGGACAAGUGGGGAUUUCGAAUGACU
RNAcentral lists this unclassified non-coding RNA (1128 nucleotides) under Hevea brasiliensis (rubber tree). Lineage: Eukaryota; Viridiplantae; Streptophyta; Magnoliopsida; Malpighiales; Euphorbiaceae. The record is from RNAcentral.